GACGAACGCUGGCGGCGUGCUUAACACAUGCAAGUCGAACGGAAAGGCCCAGCUUGCUGGGUACUCGAGUGGCGAACGGGUGAGUAACACGUGGGUGAUCUGCCCUGCACUCUGGGAUAAGCCUGGGAAACUGGGUCUAAUACCGGAUAUGACCAACUGUCGCAUGGUGGUUGGUGGAAAGCUUUUGCGGUGUGGGAUGGGCCCGCGGCCUAUCAGCUUGUUGGUGGGGUAAUGGCCUACCAAGGCGACGACGGGUAGCCGACCUGAGAGGGUGAUCGGCCACACUGGGACUGAGACACGGCCCAGACUCCUACGGGAGGCAGCAGUGGGGAAUAUUGCACAAUGGGCGCAAGCCUGAUGCAGCGACGCCGCGUGAGGGAUGACGGCCUUCGGGUUGUAAACCUCUUUCACCAGGGACGAAGCGUGAGUGACGGUACCUGGAGAAGAAGCACCGGCCAACUACGU
Molecule: ribosomal RNA, 465 nt
Filed under: uncultured bacterium
Lineage: Bacteria
Description: partial 16S ribosomal RNA
Rfam family: Bacterial small subunit ribosomal RNA
Source: RNAcentral